RNAcentral lists this ribosomal RNA (501 nucleotides) under uncultured bacterium. RNAcentral describes it as "partial 16S ribosomal RNA". It matches the Rfam family "Bacterial small subunit ribosomal RNA", at positions 30 to 523 of the family's 1533-position model. The record is from RNAcentral.
AUUGAACGCUGGCGGCAGGCUUAACACAUGCAAGUCGAGCGGAGGAAGGUAGCUUGCUAGCGGACCUAGCGGCGGACGGGUGAGUAAUGCUUAGGAAUCUGCCUAUUAGUGGGGGACAACAUCUCGAUAGGGAUGCUAAUACCGCAUACGUCCUACGGGAGACAGCAGGGGAUCUUUGGACCUUGCGCUAAUAGAUGAGCCUAAGUCGGAUUAGCUAGUUGGUGUGGUAAAGGCCUACCAAGGCGACGAUCUGUAGCGGGUGUGGGAGGAUGGACCGCCAACCUGGGACUGAGAACCGGGCCAGACUCCUGAGGGAGGCAAGCGUGGGGAAUAUUGGAAAAUGGGGCGAACCCUGAUCCAGCCAAGCCGCGUGUGUGGAGAAAGCCUUAUGGUUGUAAAGCACUUUAAGCGAGGACGAAGAUACUUUAGUUAAUCCCUAGAGAUAGUUGACGUUACUCGCAGAAUAAGCACCGGCUAACUACGUGCCAGCAGCCGCAGUAA